UGGGGAUGACGUCAAGUCAUCAUGGCCCUUACGGCCAGGGCUACACACGUGCUACAAUGGUCGGUACAAAGGGUUGCCAAGCCGCGAGGUGGAGCUAAUCCCAUAAAACCGAUCGUAGUCCGGAUCGCAGUCUGCAACUCGACUGCGUGAAGUCGGAAUCGCUAGUAAUCGUGAAUCAGAAUGUCACGGUGAAUACGUUCCCGGGCCUUGUACACACCGCCCGUCACACCAUGGGAGUGGGUUGCUCCAGAAGUAGCUAGUCUAACCGCAAGGGGGACGGUUACCACGGAGUGAUUCAUGACUGGGGUGAAGUCGUAACAAGGUAGCCGUAGGGGAACCUGCGGCUGGAUCACCUCCUUA
Molecule: ribosomal RNA, 360 nt
Filed under: Pseudomonas aeruginosa
Lineage: Bacteria; Pseudomonadati; Pseudomonadota; Gammaproteobacteria; Pseudomonadales; Pseudomonadaceae
Description: bacterial SSU rRNA
Rfam family: Bacterial small subunit ribosomal RNA
Source: RNAcentral